This 456-nucleotide ribosomal RNA is filed under the name uncultured Desulfovibrio sp. Its description in RNAcentral is "bacterial SSU rRNA". It matches the Rfam family "Bacterial small subunit ribosomal RNA", at positions 924 to 1382 of the family's 1533-position model. The record is from RNAcentral. Lineage: Bacteria; Pseudomonadati; Thermodesulfobacteriota; Desulfovibrionia; Desulfovibrionales; Desulfovibrionaceae.
CACAAGCGGUGGAGUAUGUGGUUUAAUUCGAUGCAACGCGAAGAACCUUACCUAGGUUGACAUCCGAGACCUUCCCGAAAGGAAGGGUGCCCUUCGGGGAAUUCCGAGACAGGUGCUGCAUGGCUGUCGUCAGCUCGUGCCGUGAGGUGUUGGGUUAAGUCCCGCAACGAGCGCAACCCUAUUGCCAGUUGCUACCAGGUAAUGCUGGGCACUCUGGUGAGACUGCCCCGGUUAACGGGGAGGAAGGCGGGGACGACGUCAAGUCAUCAUGGCCCUUACGCCUAGGGCUACACACGUACUACAAUGGCGCAUACAAAGGGCAGCGAUACCGCGAGGUGGAGCCAAUCCCAAAAAGUGCGUCCCAGUCCGGAUUGCAGUCUGCAACUCGACUGCAUGAAGUUGGAAUCGCUAGUAAUUCGAGAUCAGCAUGCUCGGGUGAAUGCGUUCCCGGGCCUU